RNAcentral lists this ribosomal RNA (2388 nucleotides) under Escherichia coli UMEA 3264-1. RNAcentral's name for it is "bacterial LSU rRNA". It matches the Rfam family "Bacterial large subunit ribosomal RNA", at positions 557 to 2925 of the family's 2925-position model. The record is from RNAcentral. Lineage: Bacteria; Pseudomonadati; Pseudomonadota; Gammaproteobacteria; Enterobacterales; Enterobacteriaceae.
CGUGUACGUACAAGCAGUGGGAGCCUCUUAAUGGGGUGACUGCGUACCUUUUGUAUAAUGGGUCAGCGACUUAUAUUCUGUAGCAAGGUUAACCGAAUAGGGGAGCCGAAGGGAAACCGAGUCUUAACUGGGCGUUAAGUUGCAGGGUAUAGACCCGAAACCCGGUGAUCUAGCCAUGGGCAGGUUGAAGGUUGGGUAACACUAACUGGAGGACCGAACCGACUAAUGUUGAAAAAUUAGCGGAUGACUUGUGGCUGGGGGGGAAAGGCCAAUCAAACCGGGAGAUAGCUGGUUCUCCCCGAAAGCUAUUUAGGUAGCGCCUCGUGAAUUCAUCUCCGGGGGUAGAGCACUGUUUCGGCAAGGGGGUCAUCCCGACUUACCAACCCGAUGCAAACUGCGAAUACCGGAGAAUGUUAUCACGGGAGACACACGGCGGGUGCUAACGUCCGUCGUGAAGAGGGAAACAACCCAGACCGCCAGCUAAGGUCCCAAAGUCAUGGUUAAGUGGGAAACGAUGUGGGAAGGCCCAGACAGCCAGGAUGUUGGCUUAGAAGCAGCCAUCAUUUAAAGAAAGCGUAAUAGCUCACUGGUCGAGUCGGCCUGCGCGGAAGAUGUAACGGGGCUAAACCAUGCACCGAAGCUGCGGCAGCGACACUAUGUGUUGUUGGGUAGGGGAGCGUUCUGUAAGCCUGUGAAGGUGGCCUGUGAGGGUUGCUGGAGGUAUCAGAAGUGCGAAUGCUGACAUAAGUAACGAUAAAGCGGGUGAAAAGCCCGCUCGCCGGAAGACCAAGGGUUCCUGUCCAACGUUAAUCGGGGCAGGGUGAGUCGACCCCUAAGGCGAGGCCGAAAGGCGUAGUCGAUGGGAAACAGGUUAAUAUUCCUGUACUUGGUGUUACUGCGAAGGGGGGACGGAGAAGGCUAUGUUGGCCGGGCGACGGUUGUCCCGGUUUAAGCGUGUAGGCUGGUUUUCCAGGCAAAUCCGGAAAACCAAGGCUGAGGCGUGAUGACGAGGCACUACGGUGCUGAAGCGACAAAUGCCCUGCUUCCAGGAAAAGCCUCUAAGCAUCAGGUAACAUCAAAUCGUACCCCAAACCGACACAGGUGGUCAGGUAGAGAAUACCAAGGCGCUUGAGAGAACUCGGGUGAAGGAACUAGGCAAAAUGGUGCCGUAACUUCGGGAGAAGGCACGCUGAUAUGUAGGUGAAGCGACUUGCUCGUGGAGCUGAAAUCAGUCGAAGAUACCAGCUGGCUGCAACUGUUUAUUAAAAACACAGCACUGUGCAAACACGAAAGUGGACGUAUACGGUGUGACGCCUGCCCGGUGCCGGAAGGUUAAUUGAUGGGGUUAGCGGUAACGCGAAGCUCUUGAUCGAAGCCCCGGUAAACGGCGGCCGUAACUAUAACGGUCCUAAGGUAGCGAAAUUCCUUGUCGGGUAAGUUCCGACCUGCACGAAUGGCGUAAUGAUGGCCAGGCUGUCUCCACCCGAGACUCAGUGAAAUUGAACUCGCUGUGAAGAUGCAGUGUACCCGCGGCAAGACGGAAAGACCCCGUGAACCUUUACUAUAGCUUGACACUGAACAUUGAGCCUUGAUGUGUAGGAUAGGUGGGAGGCUUUGAAGUGUGGACGCCAGUCUGCAUGGAGCCGACCUUGAAAUACCACCCUUUAAUGUUUGAUGUUCUAACGUUGGCCCGUAAUCCGGGUUGCGGACAGUGUCUGGUGGGUAGUUUGACUGGGGCGGUCUCCUCCUAAAGAGUAACGGAGGAGCACGAAGGUUGGCUAAUCCUGGUCGGACAUCAGGAGGUUAGUGCAAUGGCAUAAGCCAGCUUGACUGCGAGCGUGACGGCGCGAGCAGGUGCGAAAGCAGGUCAUAGUGAUCCGGUGGUUCUGAAUGGAAGGGCCAUCGCUCAACGGAUAAAAGGUACUCCGGGGAUAACAGGCUGAUACCGCCCAAGAGUUCAUAUCGACGGCGGUGUUUGGCACCUCGAUGUCGGCUCAUCACAUCCUGGGGCUGAAGUAGGUCCCAAGGGUAUGGCUGUUCGCCAUUUAAAGUGGUACGCGAGCUGGGUUUAGAACGUCGUGAGACAGUUCGGUCCCUAUCUGCCGUGGGCGCUGGAGAACUGAGGGGGGCUGCUCCUAGUACGAGAGGACCGGAGUGGACGCAUCACUGGUGUUCGGGUUGUCAUGCCAAUGGCACUGCCCGGUAGCUAAAUGCGGAAGAGAUAAGUGCUGAAAGCAUCUAAGCACGAAACUUGCCCCGAGAUGAGUUCUCCCUGACUCCUUGAGGGUCCUGAAGGAACGUUGAAGACGACGACGUUGAUAGGCCGGGUGUGUAAGCGCAGCGAUGCGUUGAGCUAACCGGUACUAAUGAACCGUGAGGCUUAACCUU